Molecule: transfer RNA, 69 nt
Filed under: Marmota monax (woodchuck)
Lineage: Eukaryota; Metazoa; Chordata; Mammalia; Rodentia; Sciuridae
Description: tRNA.Ala
Source: RNAcentral
GGAAUGUGGCUCAAGUGGUAGCAUGCUCGCCUGGCAUGCGCGGGGCACUGGGUUCGAUCCCCAGCACCA